GACGAACGCUGGCGGCGUGCUUAACACAUGCAAGUCGAACGGAAAGGUCCUGCCUUUGUGGGGUGCUCGAGUGGCGAACGGGUGAGUAACACGUGAGUAACCUGUCCUUGACUUUGGGAUAACUUCAGGAAACUGGGGCUAAUCCCGGAUAGGAGCUCCUGCUGCAUGGUGGGGGUUGGAUAGUUUCGGCGGUUGGGGGUGGACUCGCGGCUUAUCAGCUUGUUGGUGGGGUAGUGGCAUACGAAGGCUUGGACGGGUAGCCAGCCGUCGAGGGUGAGCAGCAACAGUGGGACUGGGAUACGGCCCAGACUCCUACGGCAGCGAGCGGUAGGGAAGAUGGCACAAGGGGCGGGGGCGUGAUGCAGCAACGCCGCGGCCGGGAUAGCGGCCUACGGGUUGGGGUCGGAUUGCGCCUGUGACGAAGCGUGUGUGACGGUAAUGGGUAAAAAAGCACCGGCUAACUACGUG
Molecule: ribosomal RNA, 468 nt
Filed under: uncultured bacterium
Lineage: Bacteria
Description: partial 16S ribosomal RNA
Rfam family: Bacterial small subunit ribosomal RNA
Source: RNAcentral